RNAcentral lists this ribosomal RNA (440 nucleotides) under uncultured bacterium. RNAcentral's name for it is "partial 16S ribosomal RNA". It matches the Rfam family "Bacterial small subunit ribosomal RNA", at positions 338 to 795 of the family's 1533-position model. The record is from RNAcentral.
CCUACGGGAGGCAGCAGUGGGGAAUAUUGCACAAUGGGGGAAACCCUGAUGCAGCGACGCCGCGUGAGUGAGGAAGGAUUUCGGUAUGUAAAGCUCUAUCAGCAGGGAAGAAAAUGACGGUACCUGACCAAGAAGCCCCGGCUAACUACGUGCCAGCAGCCGCGGUAAUACGUAGGGGGCAAGCGUUAUCCGGAUUUACUGGGUUUAAAGGGAGCGUAGGCGGCUGGGUAAGCCAGAAGGGAAAGCCCGAGGCUCAACCACGGGACUGCUUUUGGAACUACAUGGCUUGAUUGCAGGAGAGGCCAGUGGUCUUCCUCGUGUAGCGGUGACAUGCGUAGCUAUUCGGCGGAACACCAGUGGCGAAGGCGGCUUGCUGGACUGUACAUGCCGCUGAGGCUCGACAGCGUGGGGAGCACACAGGAUUCGCUACCCUUGUAGUC